UACGUAGGUGGCGAGCGUUGUCCGGAUUUACUGGGCGUAAAGGGCGUGCAGGCGGUUUGUUAAGUGCAGAGUGAAAGCUCCCGGCUCAACUGGGAGAGGUCUUUGCAUACUGGCAAACUCGAGGGAGGCAGAGGAAAGUGGAAUUCCCGGUGUAGUGGUGAUAUGCGUAGAUAUCGGGAGGAACCCCUGUGGCGAAGGCGGCUUUCUGGGCCUUACCUGACGCUGAGACGCGAAAGCGUGGUGAGCGAACCGG
RNAcentral lists this ribosomal RNA (253 nucleotides) under uncultured bacterium. RNAcentral's name for it is "partial 16S ribosomal RNA". It matches the Rfam family "Bacterial small subunit ribosomal RNA", at positions 524 to 776 of the family's 1533-position model. The record is from RNAcentral.